This 412-nucleotide ribosomal RNA is filed under the name uncultured bacterium. RNAcentral describes it as "bacterial SSU rRNA". It matches the Rfam family "Bacterial small subunit ribosomal RNA", at positions 9 to 418 of the family's 1533-position model. The record is from RNAcentral.
GAGUUUGAUCGUGGCUCAGGACGAACGCUGGCGGCGUGCGUAACCCAUGCAAGUCGAACGAGCAGAUUUCCUUCGGGGAAGAAGCGAGUGGCGGACGGGUGAGUAACGCGUGAACAACCAACCCUAUACAGGGGGACAACAGCUGGAAACGGCUGCUAAUACCGCAUAAGACCACAAGGCCGCAUGACCAAGGGGUCAAAGGAGCAAUCCGGUAUAGGACGGGUUCGCGUCCCAUUAGCUAGUAGGCGGGUAAAGGCCCACCUAGGCAACGAUGGGUAGCCGAGCUGAGAGGCUGAACGGCCACACUGGGACUGAGAUACGGCCCCAGACUCCUACGGGAGGCAGCAGGGGGGAAUAUUGGGCAAUGGGGGAAACCCUGACCCAGCAACGCCGCGUGAAGGAAGAAGGCCUU